ACGAACGCUGGCGGCGUGCUUAACCCAUGCAAGUCGAACGGGCCCGCUCUCUUUUUUGGGGGUGGGUUGAGUGGCGAACGGGUGAGUAUCACGUGAGUAACCUGCCCCCUGCUCCUGGAUAACUGCUUGAAAGGGCGGCUAAUACGGGGUGUGCCGGCUGGUCCGCAUGGGCCUGGUCGGGAUAGUUUCAUCUUCGGGUGUUUCGGUGGGGGGUGGGCUCGCGGCCUAUCAGCUUGUUGGUGGGGUGAUGGCCCACCAAGGCGGUGACGGGUAGCCGGCCUGAGGGGGUGCGCGGCCACACUGGGACUGAGACACAGCCCAGACUCCUGCGGGAGGCAGCAGUGGGGGGUAUUGCACACUGGGCGGAAGCCUGAUGCAGCGACGGCGCGUGAGGGAUGGAGGCCUUCGGGUGGUGAACCUCUUUCUCCGGUGGGGAAGGCCCUGUCCGUUGCGGCGGGGUUGACGGUAGCCGGGUAUGAAGCGCCGGCUAACUACGUG
RNAcentral lists this ribosomal RNA (498 nucleotides) under uncultured bacterium. RNAcentral describes it as "partial 16S ribosomal RNA". It matches the Rfam family "Bacterial small subunit ribosomal RNA", at positions 29 to 507 of the family's 1533-position model. The record is from RNAcentral.